This 443-nucleotide ribosomal RNA is filed under the name uncultured bacterium. Its description in RNAcentral is "partial 16S ribosomal RNA". It matches the Rfam family "Bacterial small subunit ribosomal RNA", at positions 338 to 795 of the family's 1533-position model. The record is from RNAcentral.
CCUACGGGUGGCAGCAGUGGGGAAUAUUGGUCAAUGGGCGAAAGCCUGACCCAGCAAUGCCGCGUGAAUGAAGAAGGUCUUAGGAUUGUAAAAUUCUGUCCUCUGGGAAGAAAAACAUGACGCUACCAUAGGAUGACGCCCCGACUAACUACGUGCCAGCAGCAGCUGUAAUACGUAGGGGGCGAGCGUUUUUCGGAAUUGCUGGGCGUAAAGAGAGCGUAGGCGUCACUACAAGUCUCAUGUGAAAUACCCGGGCUUAACUUCGGGGUUGCAGUGGAAACUGUAGGGCUGGAGUACAGGAGAGGCAAGCGGAAUUCGUAGUGUAGCGGUGAAAUGCAUAGAUAUUAGGAGGAACACCAGUGGCGAAGGCGGCGUGCUGGACUGAAACUGACGCUGAGGCUCGAAAGCGUGGGGAGCAAACAGGAUUAGAUACCCGAGUAGUC